UGUUCCUCCAGGACACAAGCAAAAGAAAGCAAGCAAGCAAGAAAGAAAUCCGAUGGAGAAAUUGUAGAAACAAGAACAGUCUAUAAAAAUCAUGGCCUUGAAGGCUCAGUGAAGCUUAGUUUUUUGAAGCAAAUAGCAGGAAGACAAAGAAAAAGGAAAUGACCCAAAGCCCACUGGUGGAAGGUGAGUAAAUGAAUCGGUGCACUCAUCAGUGGGACGGGACCCUGGGGCUCUACAAGGACUCCUGCAAGGGCGGGCAGCAGAGGUCAGGGCCGCUGGUGUCAGGGUAAGUGCACUGUGAGCUGCACGUGAGUAAGGUGUUUAGUAACCAUGCUGCAUGAAGAAAACUCCGGAUGAAACUACCUUCCUGCAUUUUAUCAACCCAACAAGAAAUCAGCAUGAAAUACCUUGAGGUGUUUACAUUCUCAGCUUGCCUCUGCACCCACUUUCUGAGUUCAGACCCCAAUGUUUCAACAAACUUCUCAAUCAGUUUGACACAUACAAAGCAGAUUCACAUAUUUGCUUCAAAUAUACCUAAAAAUUUUCCAAGAAAUAUGCCAAUUAUGGCUUUCUAUCAGGGCAUCACAAGUGCUGACUGGCCACAGGCACUGGACAUCCCAGUUCUUGUUUUGGGUGGUGGCGGGGAUGGAACCUGGGAUCUUGGGAAUACCAAACGCAGGCUCCACCUCUGAGCCACGCCCCCGCCCCUAUGUCACAGUCUACAGCUUGACCCCGGUGGUUGACUGAAUGAGUGUGUUCACCUUGCACACGCUCACCCUGUGCACCUGAUUCUGGUUUAUUCCCGAGAGCAUGCACAUGGGGCCAGGACCUCGAGUUCUUAUGUGUGGCACUAUUUGCUCUCAUAAACAUCUGUAUUUUGACAUUCUCUUCAUUCUAUACAAAAAAAAUCAAGCCUUCAAAUGUCCAGUUUUUGCUGUGUUCGGUAAUAAAAUGAAUUCUGUCCAUUAGUGGAGGUUUACCCCAGGGAUGUAAUGGCCAAGUUAUCUCACCCAAGGAAGCAGGCCGGGAUGGGAGAACUCCUAACGGACAGUUCAGUGGUUUUAUGAUGACAGAUGUUUCGUCUGCUGUGUAAAAGGCUUUUGAGAACAUAACAGCUGCUCUUGUUUUUAGGGCUUUUCUCAAGAACAGUUGAUUCUCUCAACUCUGUAAAGCCUGGCAAUAUGCCCCACUUUCCUCGUGGAGAAACUGAGGCAGAGAGAGGUCAAGGAACUGUCCAGCAUCCUGAAGGAGCCUGCAGGAUGCUGCCCAGGCACUGGCUUGAGCUGCUGCUAUGGUGAAGGGAGGCCCGGGCACACCUGCUGAACCUUUUCCUGGGCACCGUGACAUCAGUCAAUCGUGUGCCCUGAAAUGUUCAUUGGCACAUCAACAUCUUCUCCACUUUCUGUAAAUAUUUAAGUGCAAUGGACACAGGAGUAAAGUAAAUAGGAACACAGUGAUUCUGUUUCCCUGCCAUGCUCUGCGAUCAGUCAGUUCCAAAGAGACCUCACGGAAAUUCAAACAACUCCUGAGCCUCAGCCCUGCCUGAGCACCCGGCCUCUGAUUUCUCUCCACCUGGCUCUCCUCGGGCGGUCACCGCACGGAGCACGGCAGGUGCAAGACCUGGCCACACACGGCCUCCUGCCUGUCCACCUCUCUCCAUCGAGGCUGGAGUCCAGGUCACUCUACUUCUUCCCUCUGUUGAAGACGAUGGUUGACCUGUUUGUGGCUGAACAAAAAUUGCCUCCCUCUGUUUGCAAACUAAUUCCUAGAGAAGAUCCUAAAGUCUUCCUCCUGUCUGCUUUCACAGGGUGGGCGAAACCAGGAUUUCCAGACCCACACCGUGACGGUCAGGACCAGUUCAGUCAAAGUGAUCAUAAUCAGUGACAAAUAAGAAAUAAGAAUAAACACACACACACACACACACUCACACACACACGCUCAAAAACCAGUGGUACUCAGAAACCACUUAUUCAAUUACUAUAACGUGCAUUCUCCAAAUAAUUUUCCUCUGGUUCCUCAGGGCAGAGAGGAGUUUCCCAGUGUGGGGAUGAGACCUAAGCCUAGGUUCUGGUGGGCCUGUUGGAGCCCAUCCGCCUGCACUGCCUUCUUUGCGGGAUGUGUGUGAACACAGUCUCUGGCCCUCAGCAUUUGCGACUAAGAUUACUUUUCAAAAAUAAACUCAACGAUAGAUGAUAGAUUCUGCCCAAUUCACAUCCACCUUGCCACCCUGAUUUGGUCACAUCUAUCGUGCAUUCACACUGUCCCUGAAGACCGGUGCUGGGACUGGUGGAGGGCCCACAUGAACUUGGGCAAAGUCCAAGUUCAUGUGGGCCCUCCCAGACACCCCAACUGAACAGUGUCAGGGGAACACCGGUGACAGCAGCUGGGGGCUGGCUGUCGACUGCACCAGGGACGAAUGAGUGGCUGCUGGCUGACUCCACAGAAGGAAAUCCAUCCCUUUCAAGCAUAUUUCCAAACAAAUCCUGGAUUACGUGGAUGCUUGAGAACUAGAAGUGAAAAUACUUUUUUAU
This 2531-nucleotide long non-coding RNA is filed under the name Marmota monax (woodchuck). The record is from RNAcentral. Lineage: Eukaryota; Metazoa; Chordata; Mammalia; Rodentia; Sciuridae.